RNAcentral lists this ribosomal RNA (253 nucleotides) under uncultured bacterium. RNAcentral describes it as "partial 16S ribosomal RNA". It matches the Rfam family "Bacterial small subunit ribosomal RNA", at positions 524 to 776 of the family's 1533-position model. The record is from RNAcentral.
GACAGAGGUGCCAAGCGUUAGGCGGAAUCACUGGGCUUAAAGCGUGUGUAGGCGGAAUGGUAAGUACCUUGUGAAAUCCCACAGCUCAACUGUGGAACUGCUCGGUAUACUGCUUUUCUUGAGCCACUUAGGGGCUGUCGGAACAAACGGUGGAGCGGUGAAAUGCGUAGAUAUCGUUUGGAACGCCAACGGUGAAAACAGACUGCUGGGGUUGCGCCGACGCUGAGACACGAAAGCCAGGGGAGCAAACGGG